This is a transfer RNA of Conidiobolus coronatus NRRL 28638, 82 nucleotides long. It matches the Rfam family "tRNA". Rfam says of the family: Transfer RNA (tRNA) molecules are approximately 80 nucleotides in length. Their secondary structure includes four short double-helical elements and three loops (D, anti-codon, and T loops). Further hydrogen bonds mediate the characteristic L-shaped molecular structure. tRNAs have two regions of fundamental functional importance: the anti-codon, which is responsible for specific mRNA codon recognition, and the 3' end, to which the tRNAs corresponding amino acid is attached (by aminoacyl-tRNA synthetases). tRNAs cope with the degeneracy of the genetic code in two manners: having more than one tRNA (with a specific anti-codon) for a particular amino acid; and 'wobble' base-pairing, i.e. permitting non-standard base-pairing at the 3rd anti-codon position. The record is from Rfam. Lineage: Eukaryota; Fungi; Entomophthoromycota; Entomophthoromycetes; Entomophthorales; Conidiobolaceae.
GCUACUAUGGCCGAGUGGUCUAAGGCGGGUGACUUAAGAUCCCCUCUCGAAAGAGGCGUAGGUUCGAACCCUACUGGUAGCA